RNAcentral lists this unclassified non-coding RNA (317 nucleotides) under uncultured Penicillium. RNAcentral's name for it is "sequence contains ITS1". The stretch from base 1 to 107 matches the Rfam family "5.8S ribosomal RNA", at positions 50 to 154 of the family's 154-position model. Lineage: Eukaryota; Fungi; Ascomycota; Eurotiomycetes; Eurotiales; Aspergillaceae. The record is from RNAcentral.
GAAAUGCGAUAAGUAAUGUGAAUUGCAGAAUUCAGUGAAUCAUCGAGUCUUUGAACGCACAUUGCGCCCCCCGGAAUACCAGGGGGGGCAUGCCUGUCCGAGCGUCAUUGCUGCCCUCAAGCACGGCUUGUGUGUUGGGCCCCCGCCCCCCGGCUCCCGGGGGGCGGGCCCGAAAGGCAGCGGCGGCACCGCGUCCGGUCCUCGAGCGUAUGGGGCUUCGUCACCCGCUCUGUAGGCCCGGCCGGCGCCCGCCGGCGACCCCCCUCAAUCUUUCUCAGGUUGACCUCGGAUCAGGUAGGGAUACCCGCUGAACUUAA